AUACCUUUCUCGGCCUUUUGGCUAAGAUCAAGUGUAGUAUCUGUUCUUAUCAGUUUAAUAUCUGAUACUUGGGCCAUUGGCUCACACGAUAUUAAAUUAAUUUUUCUAGGGGGAAAGCUCACCACAGUAGCUUGCUCUUGGGGCUUUCAUACGUCGCCUAAGUGUUGCACUAUUGUGACAGCCCAAAAUUG
Molecule: small nuclear RNA, 191 nt
Filed under: Gossypium arboreum
Lineage: Eukaryota; Viridiplantae; Streptophyta; Magnoliopsida; Malvales; Malvaceae
Description: U2 spliceosomal RNA
Rfam family: U2 spliceosomal RNA
About the family: U2 is a small nuclear RNA (snRNA) component of the spliceosome (involved in pre-mRNA splicing). Complementary binding between U2 snRNA (in an area lying towards the 5' end but 3' to hairpin I) and the branchpoint sequence (BPS) of the intron results the bulging out of an unpaired adenosine, on the BPS, which initiates a nucleophilic attack at the intronic 5' splice site, thus starting the first of two transesterification reactions that mediate splicing.
Source: Rfam by way of RNAcentral